RNAcentral lists this ribosomal RNA (467 nucleotides) under uncultured bacterium. RNAcentral's name for it is "bacterial SSU rRNA". It matches the Rfam family "Bacterial small subunit ribosomal RNA", at positions 330 to 793 of the family's 1533-position model. The record is from RNAcentral.
UCCAGACUCCUACGGGAGGCAGCAGUGAGGAAUAUUGGUCAAUGGGCUUACGCCUGAACCAGCCAAGUCGCGUGAGGGAAGACUGCCCUAUGGGUUGUAAACCUCUUUUGUCAGGGAGCAACGCCGGCUACGUGUAGCCGGACUGAGAGUACCUGAAGAAAAAGCAUCGGCUAACUCCGUGCCAGCAGCCGCGGUAAUACGGAGGAUGCGAGCGUUAUCCGGAUUUAUUGGGUUUAAAGGGAGCGUAGAUGGGUUGUUAAGUCAGUUGUGAAAGUUUGCGGCUCAACCGUAAAAUUGCAAUUGAUACUGGCAGCCUUGAGUACAGUUGAGGUAGGCGGAAUUCGUGGUGUAGCGGUGAAAUGCUUAGAUAUCACGAAGAACUCCGAUUGCGAAGGCAGCAUACCGGCGCUCAACUGACGCUCAUGCACGAAAGUGUGGGUAUCGAACAGGAUUAGAUACCCUAGUAC